This 261-nucleotide unclassified non-coding RNA is filed under the name uncultured Dothideomycetes. RNAcentral's name for it is "sequence contains 5.8S rRNA gene, ITS2, 28S rRNA gene". The record is from RNAcentral. Lineage: Eukaryota; Fungi; Ascomycota; Dothideomycetes.
AACGCACAUUGCGCCCCUUGGUAUUCCAUGGGGCAUGCCUGUUCGAGCGUCAUCUACACCCUCAAGCUCUGCUUGGUGUUGGGCGUCUGUCCCCGCCUCCGCGCGCGGACUCGCCCCAAAUCCAUUGGCAGCGUCCCCUCGCCCCCCUCUCGCGCAGCACGAAUGCGCAUGACGAGGGAGCGGCUUUUGGGAUCGCGACCCACCCCCAAGAUGACCACCGUCUUUGACCUCGGAUCAGGUAGGGAUACCCGCUGAACUUAA